UACGGGGGGAGCAAGCGUUGUUCGGAUUUACUGGGCGUAAAGGGCGCGUAGGCGGCGUGACAAGUCACUUGUGAAAUCUCCGGGCUUAACUCGGAACGGUCAAGUGAUACUGUCGUGCUAGAGUACAGAAGGGGCAACUGGAAUUCUCGGUGUAGCGGUGAAAUGCGUAGAUAUCGAGAGGAACACCUGCGGCGAAGGCGGGAUGCUGGGCUGAUACUGACGCUGAGGCGCGAAAGCCAGGGGAGCGAACGGG
This 253-nucleotide ribosomal RNA is filed under the name uncultured bacterium. RNAcentral describes it as "partial 16S ribosomal RNA". It matches the Rfam family "Bacterial small subunit ribosomal RNA", at positions 524 to 776 of the family's 1533-position model. The record is from RNAcentral.